AUUGAACGCUGGCGGCAUGCCUUACACAUGCAAGUCGAACGGCAGCACGGACUUCGGUCUGGUGGCGAGUGGCGAACGGGUGAGUAAUGCAUCGGAACGUGCCAUUGAGUGGGGGAUAACGUAGCGAAAGUUGCGCUAAUACCGCAUAUUCUGUGAGCAGGAAAGCAGGGGACCGCAAGGCCUUGCGCGUCUUUGGAGCGGCCGAUGUCAGAUUAGCUAGUUGGUGAGGUAAAGGCUUACCAAGGCGACGAUCUGUAGCGGGUCUGAGAGGAUGAUCCGCCACACUGGAACUGAGACACGGUCCAGACUCCUACGGGAGGCAGCAGUGGGGAAUUUUGGACAAUGGGGGCAACCCUGAUCCAGCCAUGCCGCGUGAGUGAAGAAGGCCUCGG
RNAcentral lists this ribosomal RNA (392 nucleotides) under uncultured bacterium. Its description in RNAcentral is "bacterial SSU rRNA". It matches the Rfam family "Bacterial small subunit ribosomal RNA", at positions 30 to 420 of the family's 1533-position model. The record is from RNAcentral.